This is a long non-coding RNA of Homo sapiens (human), 2309 nucleotides long. The record is from Ensembl. NCBI's taxonomy places the organism in Eukaryota, Metazoa, Chordata, Mammalia, Primates, Hominidae.
GACUCAGAAGCCCUCACUCACACAAUUUAGCACUUGUUUUUCUUAUUUUGCUCUUCAUGGACUAUUAUUUUCUAUUUUCUUGCUGAGCAAAGAAACCCCACACAAUCAAUAUAAAGAAAAACUAACUUUGAAACAACAUUCUUUUGAGGAUCUGUGAGAAGUGGAUGGGAAAUGAAAAACGCAACACGACAUGGGCUAUUUUCAGACUAUGAGGUCUCUUUCAUCAAAGUCAGCACUAGCUGUGAAGACCACCUGCUUCCAGUAAUUACCGUAAGCACACUCAGUGUCUCCGGAUUCAAAUGACCUAUUUCUUGGUGAAAUAAGACAUCUCUUAACUUCAACUGCGUUACAUAUACUCUCAACUCUAAAUUACUUAUUCACAGGAGACAAAUGCCUCUAGAUCAAUUCAAAGCACUGAUCUCGCUCAGUGGGCCCAUCAGAACUCGAAUCCCAAGGCACAAUAAGAAAACAAUCUGCCGAGUAUCCGACAGAAAUGAAUAGAUAGAUCUGAAAACCAGCCACAUGGAAAACUGCAAAACUGUUGUUCUGAAAUUUUUAUUCAGAGUAACUUAAGAAGGGAAUUAAUUUCGCUUUUUUUAAUGUAGGAAAGAAACAGACCCUACAUUUAGAAGAGUAGGUUGUUUGCUCAAUACUUAUAAUAAUUUCAUAGCACCAAUUAACACUUUCUUGCCUAGCUUCUGUCCUAAACACAUGCAUCUAUAAAUCUGCUUGGAUUUUCAAGUUUCAAGAUUAAAACAAAAUAUAUCUCAGUAAUCAGACAUAAAAAACAAUUACUUAGCUUUACAAAUUAAUAAUUCAUAUAGAAUAUAAGCUUGAGGUCCUUAGGCCUAAAUUAUUUCUCCUACUUGAUUCGUUUCUGCAUGUGGCAUGGUUGGUGUCUCUCUUUGUUUUGAGACUAUUUCCUGCCUUAAAAUCUGAGUACUUGUCCUCUUUCUUCUCUUCCACCUGCCCCUUGCCUCUUCAUUUGCUUCAUUUUCUCUUCUGCUGCUGCUGGCUGUUUAAAUACUCAUAAUUUUCUUCCCUUACUUUUUAUCACCAUCCUACACUCCUCUCCCUUCCCUCAUCUUUCCUUCCCUUCUCUUUUCUGUUCAUCCCAUUUUUAGGCUUCUAUUUUUAUCCCAAUUUUCUCCUACAAUCUUAUUUUCUUUCAGCGUGAUUUUAUUAUCUAUAAGGUAAUAAUUCCACAAUUAGUUUCUCUAGCCCUGAUUUAAAAAGUGGGUGACGAGGAGUCAUGCCCAAAUCAUUUAAUCAAAACUGAAACGUGCACAGAGAGAUUCGUUAUGCACAAGAUACUAAUUAGGACAAGAAACAGAGUGGAAAGACCUUUGAAAGGUCACACCGUGCCCUCCUUUUAUUCCAGCUAAGGCUUUUCCUAAAUCAGCAUUCCGGAAGUAUUCCAGGGAACACUCGUUCUGCAAAAUGGCUCUUGAAAAGAAGAAGAAGAAGAAAGAAGGAGUUCUAUGGCCAAAUUAAUUUGGGAAAAACUGCAUACUAUGUCUCCCUCAUGAAUUUCAAUGAACAUUAACAUUGUAAAAACUGAAACAUCUUAGAAGAGAAAUAUUUAUUUGCAUUUAACCCAACAUUACACAAACUCAUUUGACUCUGCAAGAUUUUUAAUAAGUCAUCUCAUCUUCAGAAACAUUCCUUUGGCCAUUGCAGCAACCUUUUAACUAUUUUCUUCUUUAAGCAUCAUCCUUCUCCAAUCCACUCCAAACUACCACCAGGAUCAUCCAUCUAAAACAUUAAUCACACCUCACAACUCGUCUGCCUAAAAUAAUCCAGUGGCACCAGGCUAUAUACAAGAUAACAUCUGUACUCCUCAGUAGAGCACAGAAUUUUUAGUAAUUCUAUCUUCAGCUUCCUUGCCUUCACUUUUUUUGCCACGAACUAGUCCUUAAUCCACUCUCCCUCAGGGUACCUAACACUGUAGUAUCACCAAAUUACCUAAAAUCUUAAAAAUGUCCACUUACACCUGAUCCUUUCCCUUCUCUCCCCUGUCAGGCUAUUCCAUAUUUUUUCCAUAGUUCUUAUGUAUGCUCCUUUUAAACACAUUUUCUCGAUCACUUUCUUUUAUGUCCAAGUAAGUUAGUUGUUCUUUGCCUUGUGUUUCCUCACCACUUUGUAAAUAUCUCUAGAAACAUGAAUCCCUCUGAAUUUAUUGCACCUAGGAAAUUGCAAGCCUGUAGACCUGUACUGUCUAAUACUGUAGGAUUAGCUACCAUGUGACUUUUGAGCACAUGAAAUGUAACUAGUUUAAACUGACAUGCUUUUAGCAUAAAAUACGCACU